UGGGGAAUAUUGGACAAUGGGCGAAAGCCUGAUCCAGCCAUGCCGCGUGUGUGAAGAAGGUCUUCGGAUUGUAAAGCACUUUAAGUUGGGAGGAAGGGCAUUAACCUAAUACGUUAGUGUUUUGACGUUACCGACAGAAUAAGCACCGGCUAACUCUGCGCCAGCAGCCGCGGUAAUACAGAGGGUGCAAGCGUUAAUCGGAAUUACUGGGCGUAAAGCGCGCGUAGGUGGUUUGUUAAGUUGGAUGUGAAAUCCCCGGGCUCAACCUGGGAACUGCAUUCAAAACUGACUGACUAUAGUAUGGUAGAGGGUGGUGGAAUUUCCUGUGUAGCGGUGAAAUGCGUAGAUAUAGGAAGGAACACCAGUGGCGAAGGCGACCACCUGGACUAAUACUGACACUGAGGUGCGAAAGCGUGGGGAGCAAACA
Molecule: ribosomal RNA, 427 nt
Filed under: uncultured bacterium
Lineage: Bacteria
Description: partial 16S ribosomal RNA
Rfam family: Bacterial small subunit ribosomal RNA
Source: RNAcentral